AGUCGAACGAUGAACCACUUCGGGGGGAUUAGUGGGGAACGGGUGAGUAACACGUGGGCAAUCUGCCCUUCACUCUGGGACAAGCCCUGGAAACGGGGUCUAAUACCGGAUACCACUUCCACUCGCAUGGGUGGGGGUUGAAAGCUCCGGCGGUGAAGGAUGAGCCCGCGGCCUAUCAGCUUGUUGGUGAGGUAAUGGCUCACCAAGGCGACGACGGGUAGCCGGCCUGAGAGGGCGACCGGCCACACUGGGACUGAGACACGGCCCACACUCCUACGGGAGGCAGCAGUGGGGAAUAUUGCACAAUGGGCGAAAGCCUGAUGCAGCGACGCCGCGUGAGGGAUGACGGCCUUCGGGUUGUAAACCUCUUUCAGCAGGGAAGAAGCGAAAGUGACGGUACCUGCAGAAGAAGCGCCGGCUAACUACGUGCCAGCAGCCGCGGUAAUACGUAGGGCGCAAGCGUUGUCCGGAAUUAUUGGGCGUAAAGAGCUCGUAGGCGGUCUGUCGCGUCGGAUGUGAAAGCCCGGGGCUUAACCCCGGGUCUGCAUUCGAUACGGGCAGACUAGAGUGUGGUAGGGGAGAUCGGAAUUCCUGGUGUAGCGGUGAAAUGCGCAGAUAUCAGGAGGAACACCGGUGGCGAAGGCGGAUCUCUGGGCCAUUACUGACGCUGAGGAGCGAAAGCGUGGGGAGCGAACAGGAUUAGAUACCCUGGUAGACACGCCGUAAACGGUGGGAACUAGGUGUUGGCGACAUUCCACGUCGUCGGUGCCGCAGCUAACGCAUUAAGUUCCCCGCCUGGGGAGUACGGCCGCAAGGCUAAAACUCAAAGGAAUUGACGGGGGCCCGCACAAGCAGCGGAGCAUGUGGCUUAAUUCGACGCAACGCGAAGAACCUUACCAAGGCUUGACAUACACCGGAAACGGCCAGAGAUGGUCGCCCCCUUGUGGUCGGUGUACAGGUGGUGCAUGGCUGUCGUCAGCUCGUGUCGUGAGAUGUUGGGUUAAGUCCCGCAACGAGCGCAACCCUUGUUCUGUGUUGCCAGCAUGCCCUUCGGGGUGAUGGGGACUCACAGGAGACUGCCGGGGUCAACUCGGAGGAAGGUGGGGACGACGUCAAGUCAUCAUGCCCCUUAUGUCUUGGGCUGCACACGUGCUACAAUGGCCGGUACAAAGAGCUGCGAAACCGUGAGGUGGAGCGAAUCUCAAAAAGCCGGUCUCAGUUCGGAUUGGGGUCUGCAACUCGACCCCAUGAAGUCGGAGUUGCUAGUAAUCGCAGAUCAGCAUUGCUGCGGUGAAUACGUUCCCGGGCCUUGUACACACCGCCCGUCACGUCACGAAAGUCGGUAACACCCGAAGCCGGUGGCCCAACCCCUUGUGGGAGGGAGCUGUCGAAGGUGGGACUGGCGAUUGGACGAAGUCGUAA
RNAcentral lists this ribosomal RNA (1422 nucleotides) under Streptomyces sp. N01-1637. RNAcentral describes it as "16S ribosomal RNA". It matches the Rfam family "Bacterial small subunit ribosomal RNA". The record is from RNAcentral. Lineage: Bacteria; Bacillati; Actinomycetota; Actinomycetes; Kitasatosporales; Streptomycetaceae.